AACGAACGCUGGCGGCAUGCCUCAUACAUGCAAGUCGAACGAGACCUUCGGAUCUAGUGGCGCACGGGUGAGUAACAUGUGGGAAUCUACCUGAAGGUUCGGAAUAACUGCGGGAAACUGUAGCUAAUACCGGAUGUGUCUGCAAAGAGAAAGAUUUAUCGCCUUCAGAUGAGCCCGCACUAGAUUAGCUAGUUGGUGAGGUAAUUGCUCCACCAAGGCUACGAUCUAUAGCUGAUUUGANAGGAUGAUCAGCCACACUGGGACUGAGACACGGCCCAGACUCCUACGGGAGGCAGCAGUAGGGAAUAUNGGACAAUGGGGGAAACCCUGAUCCAGCAAUGCCGCGUGAGUGAAGAAGGCCUUCGGGUUGUAAAACUCUUUCAUCAAUGAUGAUAAUGACAUUAGUUGAAGAAGAAGCCCCGGCUAACUUCGUGCCAGCAGCCGCGGUAAUACGAAGGGGGCUAGCGUUGUUCGGAAUCACUGGGCGUAAAGCGUAUGUAGGCGGAUCAAAAAGUUAGAUGUGAAAUCCCUGGGCUCAACCCAGGAACUGCAUUUAAAACUAGUGAUCUAGAAUUUGGUAGGGGUUAGUAGAAUUUCCAGUGUAGAGGUGAAAUUCGUAGAUAUUGGAAAGGAUACCAGUGGCGAAGGCGACUAACUGGGCCAUUUUUGACGCUGAGAUACGAAAGCGUGGGUAGCAAACAGGAUUAGAUACCCUGGUAGUCCACGCAGUAAACGAUGAGUGCUAGUCGCUGGGACAAUAGUUUCAGUGUCGAAGCUAACGCAUUAAGCACUCCGCCUGGGAAGUACGGUCGCAAGAUUAAAACUCAAAUAAAUUGACGGGGGCCCGCACAAGCGGUGGAGCAUGUGGUUUAAUUCGAAGCAACGCGAAGAACCUUACCAGACCUUGACAUGGUGUGUAUGAAUUACAGAAUCGUAAUUCUUCAGUUCGGCUGGCACACACACAGGUGCUGCAUGGCUGUCGUCAGCUCGUGUCGUGAGAUGUUGGGUUAAGUCCCGCAACGAGCGCAACCCUCAUUUUUAGUUGCCAUCAGGUAAUGCUGGGCACUCUAGAAAAACUGCCGGUGAUAAGCUGGAGGAAGGCGGGGAUGACGUCAAGUCCUCAUGGCCCUUACGGUCUGGGCUACACACGUGCUACAAUGGUGGUGACAGUGGGUAGCAAUACUGCAAAGUAAAGCUAAUCCCAAAAAACCAUCUCAGUUCGGAUUGGACUCUGCAACUCGAGUCCAUGAAGUUGGAAUCGCUAGUAAUCGUAGAUCAGCGUGCUACGGUGAAUACGUUCUCGGGCCUUGUACACACCGCCCGUCACGCCAUGGGAGUUGGUUUUACCUUAAGCCGGUGCGCUAACCGCAAGGAAGCAGCCGUCCACGGUAGGGUCAGCGACUGGGGCGAAGUCGUAACAAGGUAACCGUAGGGGAACCUGCGGUUGGAUCACCUCCUUUCU
RNAcentral lists this ribosomal RNA (1462 nucleotides) under uncultured marine bacterium. RNAcentral's name for it is "16S ribosomal RNA". It matches the Rfam family "Bacterial small subunit ribosomal RNA". The record is from RNAcentral.